This 266-nucleotide ribosomal RNA is filed under the name uncultured Eubacteriales bacterium. RNAcentral describes it as "uncultured Clostridiales bacterium partial 16S ribosomal RNA". It matches the Rfam family "Bacterial small subunit ribosomal RNA", at positions 73 to 339 of the family's 1533-position model. Lineage: Bacteria; Bacillati; Bacillota; Clostridia; Eubacteriales. The record is from RNAcentral.
AUGGAAGAGAGUUCAGCUUAGUGGCGAACGGGUGAGUAACACGUGAGCAACCUGCCUUUCAGUGGGGGACAACAUUUGGGAACGAAUGCUAAUACCGCAUAAGACCACAGUGUCGCAUGGCACAGGGGUCAAAGGAUUUAUCCGCUGAAAGAUGGGCUCGCGUCCGAUUGGCUAGAUGGUGAGGUAACGGCCCACCAUGGCGACGAUCGGUAGCCGGACUGAGAGGUUGAACGGCCACAUUGGGACUGAGAUACGGCCCAGACUCC